UGACUUUGAAGUUACAAAACUAUGGGAGCUUACCCUAAUGUCACAUUGUACAAGGUCCCAUAUGAUGAACCCUAAACUACCAAAACUGACAUUAUAUAAAGCAUAAUUGUAAAAUUCUCCAACUUCAGACAUACACAUGUAGGAAAAUUGUAAACUUUCUCAAUUUGACUUCCUCUUCACAAAAUAAUAAUGAUGCAAGGGGAAUUACUUCUUAUUGUACCUUCAGGCUUCCCAAGCUGAAAAAGUAACUUUGAGUUGUUAUGCUCAAAAACUAUUCUUUACUAAACCCUUACAUUCCAUUACAUUCAUUAUGCAUUAUUUAGGCUAAUAUCUCUGGGAAAUUGAACGAGUUUCUCUUCAACUUCAAAUUCAUCAUGCUCUUGUGAAACUUCGCCAUCAUCCAUUAGUAUUUUGAAAUUUAGUUACUUCUAACUUUGUUUCUUGUUCAUUGUGCUAGGAUUUUAACUAUUAAAAUCUUGCCCUCGAUCUUCCCUUUGGACAGGGCUUUCACCAAUGAUCGGAAUUGCUCAGCAUUUCAAAAUUGCUGUUAUCUCCUUCAAUUAAUUUCCCUCAUAAACUUUAGAACAAUAAAUAUCAUUUUUCUGUUGGUUGUUAUAAAACAACAGAGCAUGCAUCAUAUACUGUGCAAUAUCAGUUGAUUUGGGACUGAAUAGAUGAAAUGUUAUCAAGUCAUUCAAAUUUACAUUGUAUCAAAGUAUUAGAAUUCACAGUUAGAAAAAGAUUGUAAAACUAAUGAAUUGAAUAGGAUGGGAUUAUGGGAACCCAUUUAGUGGAGAUUUACAAGUAGAAAAUAGGUGCUGGAUUUGAAAAAUUCAGUUGCUGAAAUUUAUAAAAUAGCAAUAAAAUAAUAGAAAUGGCAACUUUAAUUCUAGUCCACAUUGUACAAGAGUCUUACACAAUGACAACCUUUAAGUCAUUUGGUGAUGUUUCAAGAGAUCUAGGAUAUGCAAAAACAAUCACAUCACAUCACUUGGUCAAAACUAAAACACAGAUAUAUGAAUAAGCCAUCAGUUCUGUUAGUUUCUGCACAAAAAUAAUGGCGAUAUCAGAUCCAGAUUGUCCAAAAUGAACGAUUCUUACUGCCUAUUUAAUGAUCCAUCUACAGCAAAUUCCAAAUCAUUAAAUGGACCAUGAAAGUUGGAAUAAACUAAUUUACCAUUCACAAUUUAGAAUGCAACAUUUAUGUUAGGGAUAAGGUCUGCACAUACAGUUAUAGGAAAAAAAAAUUAAAACAGUAAAAUUCACCAAAUAAUCUAUCACAAGGAUACAGAAGGAAGAUAAAUAUACUAUUUUCGCCAUGUCUAUGUACUCCUCCAAUUCCUCCAGUAACAAACACAGAGAUACCAACCAUUUCCUCUGGUGGCCACCUACGAAGAAAAAAUCGUAGAGAGCAAAAGUUGACAGGCAAAUUAAAACUAGCACUGGUUAAAGAAAUUUACCAGACCAAAAUCUAUAAAUAAAGAACAAUAAUAAUACAGGUAUCAAAUUAAUAUUUGAUCACACAUGCUCAAUUAACUAAGGUGUAAAUAUCAAAAUUAGUUGCUGAUGCAGCCAUCUCAAUAUAACAGCUCAGUAGUCUGCCGUCAAAAACUAUAGAAGCUUACAAUAAAGAAACAUGUGAAAAUACUUAAUGGAUAUACUCUGCUAUGGGCCCGACAUAGAGAACUAUAGGGCACAAGCAUAGGAAUUUCCCAGUUCCAUAAAACAUUUCUCAUCUGAAAACUUUUUAUAGCUAAUAACUCCAAGGAUUAAGUUUCUACUUGAUAGACAACUUAGUUAAUCAAUUAUUUGCAAUCAAGAUUUACUUUUAUAUACUAGACAUGAGAUUAGUUUGUUGAGUCCAACAGUGCUGAUCUAGUUUCAUUGUUGCAAUGUAAAUGCUAUACAUUUGACUUUCUUUGCAAUGGAGUAUAGACAUGUUAUGAUUCACAAGUUUUACGAUGAACAAUCAUAUUUAGGAUUAGACUCAUAAAUGAGUCAUUUCAAACUGUUGCAACAUUUCCUUGAGUUAUUUAGGAACUCUUAACACUAACAUACUUCGUUGAACUGUUAUAAAUCAUCAAUGCUAUUCCAUCAAAUAAAUGUUGGGAUCUAAUUUCUUCUAGUGCACCAGUAUGCAUUUCUUUAGUUCUUUUCAUUAAAUAACUAUGAGAAAAAAAAAAUUCUUAGCCUUUCUAAUCAACUCAAUCAUUUAAAAAACAUGGUGAUCUUUCAUGCAACAAUCUAAAAUAUCAAUGUUCCUAAUAUAAACAUUUCUAGGACAUAUUAUAUAUAUAAAAGCAGCCACAGCGCAAUUUGCACAAACAGAUCAAUUAAGAAAGUCUAUGCCUAUAGGAAAAGAACAGUUGAGUAAUAUUCAAAGGCACA
Molecule: unclassified non-coding RNA, 2388 nt
Filed under: Hevea brasiliensis (rubber tree)
Lineage: Eukaryota; Viridiplantae; Streptophyta; Magnoliopsida; Malpighiales; Euphorbiaceae
Source: RNAcentral